This 585-nucleotide ribosomal RNA is filed under the name uncultured bacterium. Its description in RNAcentral is "partial 16S ribosomal RNA". It matches the Rfam family "Bacterial small subunit ribosomal RNA", at positions 355 to 932 of the family's 1533-position model. The record is from RNAcentral.
UGGGGAAUUUUGGACAAUGGGCGAAAGCCUGAUCCAGCAAUGCCGCGUGUGUGAAGAAGGCCUUCGGGUUGUAAAGCACUUUUGUCCGGAAAGAAAUCCUUGGCUCUAAUACAGUCGGGGGGAUGACGGUACCGGAAGAAUAAGCACCGGCUAACUACGUGCCAGCAGCCGCGGUAAUACGUAGGGUGCAAGCGUUAAUCGGAAUUACUGGGCGUAAAGCGUGCGCAGGCGGUUUGCUAAGACCGAUGUGAAAUCCCCGGGCUCAACCUGGGAACUGCAUUGGUGACUGGCAGGCUAGAGUAUGGCAGAGGGGGGUAGAAUUCCACGUGUAGCAGUGAAAUGCGUAGAGAUGUGGAGGAAUACCGAUGGCGAAGGCAGCCCCCUGGGCCAAUACUGACGCUCAUGCACGAAAGCGUGGGGAGCAAACAGGAUUAGAUACCCUGGUAGUCCAGCGCCCUAAACGAUGUCAACUAGUUGUUGGGGAUUCAUUCCUUAGUAACGUAGCUAACGCGUGAAGUUGACCGCCUGGGGAGUACGGUCGCAAGAUUAAAACUCAAAUGAAUUGACGGGGUCAUGCUGUUUCCU